CCCGCCUCUUCCUUCUCCUGCGCCUCGGCGGCCGCCAGAGCCGCUCUUCAGGGAGGAAGCGGCCUCCGGGGCUUGUUGCUUUGUGCUGCAACCAUGGUGAGGAGUGAGUGACGGGCCGGGGGCCAGUCGGAGGCCGCCGCAUCAUCGGGGGCGGAGCGCCCCGUGGCGCCGGCCCGCCCCAUCGCUGGCCUGGCGGGGCCGCGCCCUCGCUGAGAGCCGCGUUCUGCCGGGACCAGUGACUGCAAGGACAACGUUGCUCUCCCUCCUUCCGCGCUCACUGACAUCUAAACCCUUAAAUGACUCCUGCGUUAGGCAGGUAGGAAUGUGGCUUUCCAACUCCAGACCUGGUAUCACAUCGGACAAGAAAACACCAGAUGGAUUUGAGAUUCCUCACCAUAUCC
This 401-nucleotide long non-coding RNA is filed under the name Mus spicilegus (steppe mouse). Its description in RNAcentral is "lncRNA (ENSMSIG00000025568.1)". Lineage: Eukaryota; Metazoa; Chordata; Mammalia; Rodentia; Muridae. The record is from RNAcentral.